Astyanax mexicanus (Mexican tetra) is the source of this 184-nucleotide long non-coding RNA. RefSeq lists it as uncharacterized. Lineage: Eukaryota; Metazoa; Chordata; Actinopteri; Characiformes; Acestrorhamphidae. The transcript is spliced from 3 exons. The record is from RefSeq and is a predicted model, not a curated record.
GUGUGUUUAGUGUGUUCAGUGUGUGUGUAGUGUGUGUGUAGUGUGUUCAGUGUGUGUCUAGUGUGUGUGUAGUGUGUUCAGUGUGUGUGUAGUGUGUGUGUAGUGUGUUCAGUGUGUGUGUUGUGUGUGUGUAGUGUGUUCAGUGUGUGUGUAGUGUGUGUGUAGUGUGUUCAGUGUGUGUGUG